Molecule: transfer RNA, 68 nt
Filed under: Potamotyphlus kaupii
Lineage: Eukaryota; Metazoa; Chordata; Amphibia; Gymnophiona; Typhlonectidae
Description: tRNA-Ser
Source: RNAcentral
GGAAGACGCUACGCCUAGCAAAAACUGCUAACUUAUUGCUACUGAGGUGUAACUCCUCAGGUCCCCCG